GACGAACGCUGGCGGCGUGCCUAAUACAUGCAAGUAGAACGCUGAAGGAGGAGCUUGCUUCUCCGGAUGAGUUGCGAACGGGUGAGUAACGCGUAGGUAACCUGCCUGGUAGCGGGGGAUAACUAUUGGAAACGAUAGCUAAUACCGCAUAACAGUAGAUGUUGCAUGACAUUUGCUUAAAAGGUGCAAUUGCAUCACUACCAGAUGGACCUGCGUUGUAUUGGCUAGUUGGUGGGGUAACGGCUCACCAAGGCGACGAUACAUAGCCGACCUGAGAGGGUGAUCGGCCACACUGGGACUGAGACACGGCCCAGACUCCUAUGGGAGGCUGCAGUAGGGAAUCUUCGGCAAUGGACGGAAGUCUGACCGAGCAACGCCGCGUGAGUGAAGAAGGUUUUCGGAUCGUAAAGCUCUGUUGUAAGAGAAGAACGAGUGUGAGAGUGGAAAGUUCACACUGUGACGGUAUCUUACCAGAAAGGGACGGCUAACUACGUGC
This 496-nucleotide ribosomal RNA is filed under the name uncultured Streptococcus sp. Its description in RNAcentral is "bacterial SSU rRNA". It matches the Rfam family "Bacterial small subunit ribosomal RNA", at positions 28 to 508 of the family's 1533-position model. Lineage: Bacteria; Bacillati; Bacillota; Bacilli; Lactobacillales; Streptococcaceae. The record is from RNAcentral.